CGCACAUUGCGCUCUCUGGUAUUCCGGAGAGCAUGCUUGUUUGAGUAUCAGUAAAAACCCCUCAGCCCUUUAUCGUUGUCAUAUAUAUAAUGACUUUGUGUCAUAUAAUAAACGACUUGCAAAAAAAAAGGGCUGGAUUUGAGCAGAUAUUCCAUGACUUUUAUGCCGUGGUUGCUUGAAAUAGAGGUUCGACCUGACGAUUGGGCUAUAAGCACUCCAUAUUUUAACCCUAAGGGAGGAUAUCUUUUGCUGCCUGCCCAUCACUAGGUGGUCGCCAGUGUCGACUGAAUGCAGGAAGGUGGACAAGUUGAGAUCUUCGGAUGUAGACUUGCAACAAACCUCAACCUCGAUCUCAAAUCAAGUAAGACUACCCGCUGAACUUAA
Molecule: unclassified non-coding RNA, 384 nt
Filed under: Mortierella sp.
Lineage: Eukaryota; Fungi; Mortierellomycota; Mortierellomycetes; Mortierellales; Mortierellaceae
Description: partial contains 5.8S ribosomal RNA, internal transcribed spacer 2, and large subunit ribosomal RNA
Source: RNAcentral